This 26-nucleotide non-coding RNA is filed under the name Mus musculus (house mouse). RNAcentral also lists the same sequence under 1 other name. The record is from RNAcentral. Lineage: Eukaryota; Metazoa; Chordata; Mammalia; Rodentia; Muridae.
UGUGUGGAAGAAAGGCAAGCCCUGUU